This is a long non-coding RNA of Polyodon spathula (Mississippi paddlefish), 1634 nucleotides long. RefSeq lists it as uncharacterized. NCBI's taxonomy places the organism in Eukaryota, Metazoa, Chordata, Actinopteri, Acipenseriformes, Polyodontidae. The record is from RefSeq and is a predicted model, not a curated record. The transcript is spliced from 3 exons.
AUGGGAUGUGACAGGAUCAAUGUGUGCUCAGAGUAGCUGCAGUUUAGCCCAUGGGAAUACAGCCAAAGAUCUGAGGAGGAGAAGGAGAAACACGACAAAAGACUGCCUGUUGCUGAUCACACAAUUCUUUACUAGGGUAUGAAAACAUUAUCACAGGAGUAAACAAUCCUUCAGGCUCAAUUUAAUCAUUCAACACCCAUGCCAGCCCAAAGGAGAUCCCUACUCACUGUAAUUAUUACAUCUGAAGGAUGAGAAGCCUCAACAUCUAAAGAUUUUAAUCUCUGGGAUAAAGUUUGAUACCCGAUAGAACCUCUUUCAAACAGGCACCAAGGCACAUCUGUGAAAACAGUGGUGGCCAAUACAUCAUGUAUUGAGAUCCGUUUUGGUGGAUCUCUAUAGGCUCUGCAAUCCACCAGCAAUAAAGCAACACAACAAAGCUGAGCCUCGAGAUUUUGACCAGAAAGCUUCCCGCGCUUUUUUGACUUCAAGGUCGGUCAGUGCUGAAAACAUAAUGGCAAAUUCCAGCUCCCACCUUUCACUGAUGUUGGUGACAGCUUCUCCUUCUUUGAAACAGCUGGGAUAUUUUCGUCCAAAUUGGUACUGCUGGAAGCCACAGAAGGUUCUCCCCCACCUUUUGUAACUCGCACCACAAUGCGAUCCAUUGAAACCACCAAACACAAACUAGCAACUGUACGAGCCAACGAGCUGAGGAAGCUUGUUGCUCGAGUGACUGAGGCAUGGAAGCCAGAGUAUUGCUAUUAGCACCAUCUACUGUUUGGAAUGAAUGUCCUUUUUCUUUGUACGUAUUCAUAGUCAGGAAAUAUAUUUUUAAAUACGCAAUCAACCCUGUUAAAACUAUUCUAUGUUUAUGUGUUGAUGUUUGUUACAACUUGGGCCAAGAUCCACCAAAAAUCUUUUGAGAUCCACUAGUGGAUCACGAUCCAUGUAUUGGCCACCACUGCAUUAGAAGUUGGGUUGGACAGCGUGGUACCCAGGUACGGUAUAGGAAGAUGCAUAGGUAUCCCAAAUUGGAAUUAGUAAUUACAACAGCAAACAAUUACAAACUGAUCCACACUCCAGAGCCACCAAGCCUCCCAAGGCUCUUGUGUUUGCAGAAGAGAUUUAAGAGCAUUAUCCUCCUUUCCAACUGUGUAAAAAAAAAUUGCUCAGCCUGUGCCUCAAAACUUAAUUAAAUAUUUGCAUUCAGAGUUUUUUUUUUUAUUGGACCCAUUGCUCUUUUUUUUUACAUUAAAUCUUUUAGCUUUGCUAGUCUGUUAUAUCAGUGGGGCCCCAACUUCCCUGAUAAUGAAAAUAGGGAGGAAAGGGUGGUUGACUGUAUUUGCAUGGUAUAUUGAGCUUUUGUAGCCCAUCACCAGGAUUUCAUUGCAGUUGUAACUGGCUAUAAAAGGCAAUACCAUAGAUGCAAAAUACAAAACCUUGUUUCCGCUAUUUGUGUAUGUGCUGCUUUUACAUGUAUAAGGCAAUACAACAGCUUACACAGAGGGAGGGAAUGUAACUGAUAGUAUCAAAAAUAAGCCUUAAUUGAGAUCAAUCUGUACACAAGAAGAAAGAUCAAGCAGAUUUAUUUUUACAAACUCCAACUUUGGGAAUAAUUGUGAAGGAAUUAAUUUGAA